GGGGUUGUGGCUCAGUGGCAGAGUGCUAGCCUAGCAUGCAUGGGGCACUAGGUUCGGUCCUCAGCACCA
Molecule: transfer RNA, 69 nt
Filed under: Marmota monax (woodchuck)
Lineage: Eukaryota; Metazoa; Chordata; Mammalia; Rodentia; Sciuridae
Description: tRNA.Ala
Source: RNAcentral